AACGAACGCUGGCGGCGCGUCUUAAGCAUGCAAGUCGAGCGGGAUUCUGUGGCUUGCCACGGAUGAGAGCGGCGGACUGGUGAGUAACGCGUGGGCGACGCGCCCCCCGGACGGGGACAGCCCCGGGAAACCGGGGGUAAUACCGGACGAUGCCGCGGGGACGGAAUGCCCCGUGGCGAAAGGCGGCCUAGGCCGCGCCGGGGGAGCGGCCCGCGUCCCAUCAGCUUGUAGGCGGGGUGACGGCCCACCUAGGCGACGACGGGUACCCGGCCUGAGAGGGCGGACGGGCACAUUGGGACUGAGAUACGGCCCAGACUCCUGCGGGAGGCAGCAGCUAAGGAUAUUCCGCAACGGGCGGAAGCCCGGCGGAGCGACGCCGCGUGGACGAGGAAGGCCGGAAGGUUGCAGAGUCCUUUUGCGGGGGAAGAAGGAGCCGCGGAGGGAAUGCCGCGGCGGCGACCGAACCCCGCGAAUAAGGGGCGGCUAAUUACGUGCCAGCAGCCGCGGUAACACGUAAGCCCCGAGCGUUGUUCGGAAUCAUUGGGCGUAAAGGGCGCGUAGGCGGCCGCUCAAGCCCGGAGUGAAAGGCGGGGGCCCAACCCCCGGACUGCUCCGGGAACUGGGCGGCUGGAGUCGCCGAGGGGGAGCCGGAAUUCCUGGUGUAGGGGUGAAAUCUGUAGAUAUCAGGAAGAACACCGAUGGCGAAGGCAGGCUUCCAGCGGACGACUGACGCUGAGGCGCGAAGGCGCGGGGAGCGAACAGGAUUAGAUACCCUGGUAGUCCGCGCGGUCAACGAUGCGCACUGGGUGUCCGGGCAUGGCCUGGGCGCCGAAGCGAACGCGUUAAGUGCGCCGCCUGGGGAGUAUGCCCGCAAGGGUGAAACUCAAAGGAAUUGACGGGGGCCCGCACAAGCGGUGGAGCAUGUGGUUUAAUUCGAUGGUACACGAGGAACCUUACCCGGGCUUGACAUCCGCGGGGAGCGCGCGGAGACGCGCGCGCGCGGCAACGCGCCCGCGGACAGGUGCUGCAUGGCUGUCGUCAGCUCGUGCCGUGAGGUGUUGGGUUAAGUCCCGCAACGAGCGCAACCCCUGCCGCCGGUUGCCAGCGAGUGGAGUCGGGCACUCUGGCGGGACUGCCGGCGACAAGCCGGAGGAAGGCGGGGACGACGUCAAGUCAUCAUGGCCCUUAUGUCCGGGGCGACACACGUGCUACAAUGGCGGGGACAGGGCGAGGCGAGGCCGCGAGGCGGAGCGGAGCGCUCAAAUCCCGCCGUAGUUCGGAUCGGAGUCUGAAACCCGACUCCGUGAAGCCGGAAUCGCUAGUAAUCGCGCAUCAGCACGGCGCGGUGAAUACGUUCCCGGGCC
RNAcentral lists this ribosomal RNA (1364 nucleotides) under uncultured bacterium. RNAcentral's name for it is "bacterial SSU rRNA". It matches the Rfam family "Bacterial small subunit ribosomal RNA", at positions 28 to 1380 of the family's 1533-position model. The record is from RNAcentral.